This 634-nucleotide ribosomal RNA is filed under the name uncultured Alphaproteobacteria bacterium. Its description in RNAcentral is "bacterial SSU rRNA". It matches the Rfam family "Bacterial small subunit ribosomal RNA", at positions 50 to 732 of the family's 1533-position model. Lineage: Bacteria; Pseudomonadati; Pseudomonadota; Alphaproteobacteria. The record is from RNAcentral.
AACACAUGCAAGUCGAACGGCUCUUCGGAGCAGUGGCGGACGGGUGAGUAACGCGUGGGAACGUGCCCUUUGGUUCGGAACAACACAGGGAAACUUGUGCUAAUACCGGAUGAGCCCUUCGGGGGAAAGAUUUAUCGCCAUUGGAGCGGCCCGCGUUGGAUUAGGUAGUUGGUGGGGUAAAGGCCCACCAAGCCGACGAUCCAUAGCUGGUCUGAGAGGAUGAUCAGCCACACUGGGACUGAGACACGGCCCAGACUCCUACGGGAGGCAGCAGUGGGGAAUCUUGCGCAAUGGGCGAAAGCCUGACGCAGCCAUGCCGCGUGAAUGAUGAAGGUCUUAGGAUUGUAAAAUUCUUUCACCGGGGAAGAUAAUGACGGUACCCGGAGAAGAAGCCCCGGCUAACUUCGUGCCAGCAGCCGCGGUAAUACGAAGGGGGCUAGCGUUGCUCGGAAUUACUGGGCGUAAAGGGCGCGUAGGCGGACAGUUUAGUCAGAGGUAAAAGCCCAGGGCUCAACCUUGGAACUGCCUUUGAUACUGGCUGUCUUGAGUUCGGGAGAGGUGAGUGGAAUGCCGAGUGUAGAGGUGAAAUUCGUAGAUAUUCGGCGGAACACCAGUGGCGAAGGCGACUCACUGG